RNAcentral lists this RNase P RNA (250 nucleotides) under Clostridiaceae bacterium. RNAcentral describes it as "partial RNase P RNA component class A". It matches the Rfam family "Bacterial RNase P class A", at positions 1 to 262 of the family's 367-position model. From Rfam's summary of the family: Ribonuclease P (RNase P) is a ubiquitous endoribonuclease, found in archaea, bacteria and eukarya as well as chloroplasts and mitochondria. Lineage: Bacteria; Bacillati; Bacillota; Clostridia; Eubacteriales; Clostridiaceae. The record is from RNAcentral.
UGAGCCAGCCGGGUGACCGCGGCGCUAUUCCGAAAGGAAGGCGCUGAGGAAAGUCCGGGCUCCCAGGGCAGGAUGCCGGCUAACGGCCGGUGAAGGCGACUUCAAGGACAGUGCAACAGAAAGAGACAACCGGAUUCGUCCGGUAACGGUGGAAAGGUGAGGUAAGAGCUCACCGGUGCCGCGGCGACGCGGCAGCCAUGCAAACCCCAUCCGGAGCACCGCCGAGGAGGAACGCCUGUCGCCCGCAGGU